RNAcentral lists this long non-coding RNA (3144 nucleotides) under Spirodela polyrhiza (greater duckweed). Its description in RNAcentral is "long non-coding RNA (SPOL_LNC000529)". Lineage: Eukaryota; Viridiplantae; Streptophyta; Magnoliopsida; Alismatales; Araceae. The record is from RNAcentral.
GUAUUUGGCAACGGGUGUUUGGCAAAACUGAUAAUUGAUGGACAUUCUUUACCCAUUUAAAAAGUAAAAAAACCGAUCUUGAGUAUAUGUUGAGAAAUACAUGCCCAAAAAAAUGGCUUCAUGGAUCAUUAAAAAAAUGAUGUUACAGGUGAAAAACACCAUAGCAUUGCAUACCUUUGUCUUCAAUCAGAUUAGUUCUCAUACAAUAUCAGCCAACAGAUUAAACAAAUUUUUCAUGGAAAGUAUUCAAGAACAACUAUCUACUAUCAACAAAAUAGCAUGAAAAACAAGAAGUUGUAAUGGACACAGGCGCCAAAUUAGAGGCAUCCUGUCCCUCGAACGCAUGGCUAAUAUCCAGCAGAAAUCCAUCUCUUGCAGCUCAUCUACAGUAAACGAUAAUUUGUUCAACAUCAGCAAGGAAAAAUGAGCUCCGUAGGGUCACCAGAAUCACUGAGACUCCUAUCCUUCACCUUAGUUUCAUCUGCUUACACUGAUGGGCCAGACUUCAUUGCCGUCCAGUCCCUGUGAAGAAUCGAGACAGAGGAUGAUUGAGAUCAAUAAAAAAGAAGAAAAAGAAAUUGUUAUUAGAAUCUUGAUCUUGACUUUGUUAUGCUAAUAUAUAUUUAUACACAGGGGGACAUUGUGCCAUUGGAUCAGUCCAGCUGACUCGAACUGAUCUUGACCAUAUGAUCCUUGUCUUUCUAUUGGUAAGUUGCCCUGCCGUAAUGGUUGGCCAGUGGUUACAGUGGGCACGAGAUGCAGUUGACCAUUCUCCACAAUCAGCUCUUCUCAACUCUACAUCACUAAGAACUUCCCCCCUUGGGGAUUCUUAUAACUCUCUAUUGUACCUCCGGGUAAUCUCCAAUUGCUUGUUUGGAGCUGAUCCUGUUUGGAUGUGAGUGAAGGACGGCCACCUUGUAGUGUGCUCAGAUUUGCUCAUAGCUUGCAGUUCCUUCAACACAGAGAACAUCGCAGUAGGUUUCCUGUGUACGCUGCUCGGCAAGGUGUAGUAUAGUGUGAUCACCACUGUCAAUAAAUCUUUACAUCAACAAUGGUGGUAGGGGGCAUGGACACUUCUUUGUUAGACGGUCAAUGUACAAGCAAAAGAGAAUCUCAUCAUGAAAUUGGCUUAAAUGAGAGGAUAUUUUAAAUGGCAAAGGAAAAUUUAACUAAAACUGAAUUCAUGAUAAAUGAAGGGCAAGAGGAAAAUAGGAGGAUGGCAAUAGCAGAAGCCUAACACGUCUAUCAAUGCAAUUUGGUGAACUGAUGCCCAGUGAUUUCAGCAAUCUUUUGUAUGACGACCAAAUAAAAACUCAAGAAAUUGAUCUUGGAAUAGUUUUCUGGGUUAGGAUUUUAAAAGAAAUACAGAUAGGCCACGAAAAUUUCAAAGGCCGUGGACCAUACAGAAACCAGCGACCAUUUAUGCCAAUGGAGGGCCAUCUAAGGAAUUGAAGAACUUCACACGAUGAAAUUGUUCAAUAAAAGCUUACAAUGCACGCACAGGCUGAGGAGAAUUACACCUUGCAAUGUCAUCAGAGAGGAGAAGUGAAACAAGCUUUCUAUUAGUCCACCUAUGCCAUCAAUAUGCCGAACAAUGAACAACUAUGGCCAAGAAUCUAAGCUUUUGAGUUUAAGAAAAGCUAAAACGUUUUACUCAAUGAACUGAAUGUCUCAUAUUGCAACAAGAUAGGAUGCCGAACAACACCACUUUGUCCUAAUUCCGCCAAGAUAAAAGAUUACAUUGCCAGCUCCUCGAAACCACAAUGAAAAAGUUACUUCCCCAAUAGAAAGUAGAAACAGGCCUUGACAGAGAUCAUUGUCGUAUGACACGCUCACGAAACUAGGAAAUGUAGACCAAAGAGGCCGGGGUCUACAGGCAACGAAGGAACUAAGAGUUGGCCAGGCGGCUUGAUGCAAGACGUGAUGAUGUAAAUACUAACUUGCCCUAAUUAACUAAUUAAGAAGGUUUAUUAAGGUAAGAUCAAGUGAAAUCUUGCAAGAUUGAAAUCAAAUGGAUCGUCACGAUUAAGAAAUCGUUAAUGAUUAGAGUGUUCCACAAUCAAUAAGUUGACUAGUUGCAAAUCAAGUAGGUUAUCACUCCUCACUAACCACCAACUGUGAGAAUAAGUGGGCAUAACUAUGGAUCACACAAUGACCAUGUAGCACGACAAUAUAUUAAGUGAACAAAUUAUGCUAUUUAUGGAAAUGAAAGGUUUAGACAUAACCUUGUCACCAGGUUAGGUGACUGAUUAGAAGAGGGGUGUAGGUUGAAGCUGGGUCCCACUUGUUGAUCGUUGGUCUCCUAGUUGACCGUUGACAUAUGUUGACUGUUCUAUCUAUAUUGACCGUUGACCAAGUCAACAGUUGACUCGCGCGAACCGGUUCCGGCUGCGCAGGUGCGGGCGGCUGGCAAAGACGGAGGCGGACCGGUCUGGUCCAGCGGUUCAGGCUGACACGAAUUAGGGCUUUUAUACCCUAAUUGUUGGACGGGUAAAUGGGGGGCACGAUCAUGUGGGCUGUGGGAGGCGAGAGCGGCGGAAGGGGUGGGGCCGUAACGAUGGAGGAGGCGGCGGCCGCGGCGGACGGGGUGGCGGCAGGGGCGAGGGAGGAGGCGGCGGCAGCGGGGGACCAUAUGGAGACAGGGACGACGGAGGAGGCGGUGGCAGCGGGGGAGGGGAUGGAGGCAGAGACGACGGAGGAGGCGGCGGAAGCAACUGGUGACGGGGGAGGAUGGCGGACGGUGAAAGAUGGAAAAUUGAGAUAGCUGCAAUGGUGGCGGCAGAUAGCGACGAUGGUUGGCAGCGGAGAGCGAUGACGAGCGACGCCAUCGGUGGCGACGGCUGUGGUACCUGCGGCAGUCGCCAAUUGGCCCGGAACCCCAAAAUAAACCUUACUGUGGUCCCAAAGCAAACCGACCCAAAACCAGAAACAAAGAAUCAUGCAUAGAGGAAUUAUCGAAGCAGCACCAUGGGAAAAAAAUACACGAACAAACCAUUUCACGCCGACAUCCAACCCAUCUUCUCCUCCGUUUCGGUCAGCGGGAGGGGGGGGGGGCGGAGCGAUCGAGCGAAGGAGCGAGAGAGAGGGCGAGAGAUCGAGCGAACGAGUGAGAGAGCGAGAGAGAGAGAGGCAAAGGCACAUGGU